Long non-coding RNA from Coffea arabica (coffee), 439 nucleotides. RefSeq lists it as uncharacterized. NCBI's taxonomy places the organism in Eukaryota, Viridiplantae, Streptophyta, Magnoliopsida, Gentianales, Rubiaceae. The record is from RefSeq and is a predicted model, not a curated record.
CGUAAAUACCAGAAGAAGCAAAACGGAGAGACGGAAAUUUCAGGGAGCAUCAAGGGACCAGGAUUGAUUGACUUCAAGUAAUUUAAGGGGAAGAUUAAGGGAGGAUCGGAGUGACUUUUGACCGGACCUUGAAUUAUCCUAGAAGUUGAUAUGAAUCGACUUCUUUUUGAACAAGCCGACGCUCUCCCCCACUUAAUUGGCUCUCAUGCAAAUGAGAAUCCAGUUUAGGAUGAGUUGAAGACUAGCUUUGAUCAAGUUAUAUUCUAGAGUUAAAUUUUGCUAAAUUGUAGCCUAUAUGACUUUUGUACCCUAGUAAUGUAUAUAUGUUGAAAGUUUAGUGUAAAGUAUCAUAUGAAUGAUUUUCUAUGUUUGGAACAUUUUUUUAGCACAUUCAAAGGAAUAUGUAAAUGUUGGUUUAUAGUUAUAAACCCGAUAGACG